Molecule: ribosomal RNA, 219 nt
Filed under: uncultured bacterium
Lineage: Bacteria
Description: partial 16S ribosomal RNA
Rfam family: Bacterial small subunit ribosomal RNA
Source: RNAcentral
CUCGAAAGCCUGUCUCAGUUCGGAUUGGGGGCUGAAACCCGCCUCCAUGAAGUUGGAUUCGCUAGUAAUCGCGCAUCAGCCAUGGCGCGGUGAAUACGUUCCCGGGCCUUGUACACACCGCCCGUCAAGCCAUGGGAGCCGGGGGUGCCUGAAGUUCGUGACCGCAAGGAGCGACCUAGGGCAAAACUGGUGACUGGGGCUAAGUCGUAACAAGGUACC